CCUACGGGAGGCUGCAGUGGGGAAUAUUGGACAAUGGGGGCAACCCUGAUCCAGCCAUGCCGCGUGUGUGAAGAAGGCCCUCGGGUUGUAAAGCACUUUCAGUGAGGAAGAACGCCUGGUGGUUAAUACCCAUCAGGAAAGACAUCACUCACAGAAGAAGCACCGGCUAACUCCGUGCCAGCAGCCGCGGUAAUACGGAGGGUGCGAGCGUUAAUCGGAAUUACUGGGCGUAAAGCGCGCGUAGGUGGCUUGAUAAGCCGGUUGUGAAAGCCCCGGGCUCAACCUGGGAACGGCAUCCGGAACUGUCAAGCUAGAGUGCAGGAGAGGAAGGUAGAAUUCCCGGUGUAGAGGUGAAAUGCGUAGAGAUCGGGAGGAAUACCAGUGGCGAAGGCGGCCUUCUGGACUGACACUGACACUGAGGUGCGAAAGCGUGGGUAGCAAACAGGAUUAGAUACCCCGGUAGUC
RNAcentral lists this ribosomal RNA (465 nucleotides) under Vreelandella stevensii. RNAcentral's name for it is "partial 16S ribosomal RNA". It matches the Rfam family "Bacterial small subunit ribosomal RNA", at positions 338 to 795 of the family's 1533-position model. Lineage: Bacteria; Pseudomonadati; Pseudomonadota; Gammaproteobacteria; Oceanospirillales; Halomonadaceae. The record is from RNAcentral.